Molecule: ribosomal RNA, 439 nt
Filed under: uncultured bacterium
Lineage: Bacteria
Description: bacterial SSU rRNA
Rfam family: Bacterial small subunit ribosomal RNA
Source: RNAcentral
GAUGGCGACCGGCGCACGGGUGAGUAACGCGUAUCCAACCUUCCCGUAUAGUAGAGGAUAGCCCGGCGAAAGUCGGAUUAAUACUCUAUGUUUUCCAAUGCAGACAUCUAAGUUGGAACAAAGGUUUACCGCUAUAGGGAUGGGGAUGCGUCUGAUUAGAUAGUAGGCGGGGUAACGGCCCACCUAGUCGACCGAUCAGUAGGGGGUUCUGAGAGGAAGGUCCCCCCACAUUGGAACUGAGACACGGUCCAAACUCCUACGGGAGGCAGCAGUGAGGAAUAUUGGUCAAUGGGCGAGAGCCUGAACCAGCCAAAGUAGCGUGCAGGAAGACGGCCCUAUGGGUUGUAAACUGCUUUUAUCGGGGGAUAAAGUGAGGGACGUGUCCCUUAUUGUAGGUACCCGAUGAAUAAGGACCGGCUAAUUCCGUGCCAGCCGCUGC